CCAGUGCCGCCGCCGCCGCUUCCACAGGAAGUUAAAGGUUGGGCCUCGCCGCCCAAAAGGGCAUCCGCCACGGAAGAAGCAGCGAGUGACCUGAUGGAGGUGGCAGCUCGGGCGAUGGCUUCUCCAACGAGAGUGGGGUCAGUAUGACCGGCGUCUGCGUCCUCCAACUCCAUUGUUUCCGUAUCCACCAUCUCAUUCUUUCAUGAGGUAAGAAAACAUGCUCGAUCAGUCUCUUUGGCUAGUUGCAGGGGCAAGAGCUGCAGCCACGUGUCCGAGGCCUCCGAGACUGGUACAUAUCUCUUUGGCUACGUGGAAGUAAACUCGAAGAGAGCACCGCACGCGAGGUAACAAAAUACUAUCCAUGUCAGUUUUACUACCGCAAAUAUUUAUAAUACGAAGAAUCGCAUCAUAUCCGAUAGCAAAGCAGA
Molecule: non-coding RNA, 428 nt
Organism: Musa acuminata subsp. malaccensis (wild Malaysian banana)
Lineage: Eukaryota; Viridiplantae; Streptophyta; Magnoliopsida; Zingiberales; Musaceae
Source: RefSeq, a predicted model, not a curated record